AAUGAACGCUGGCGGUAGGCCUAACACAUGCAAGUCGAACGGCAGCACCGUAAUUGCUUGCUCUUCCGGGUGGCCAGUGGCGGACGGGUGAGGAAUACAUCCUAAUCUACUCUUUCGUGUGGCUUAACGUAGGUAAACUUACUCUAAUACCGCAUACGCCCUACCGGUGAAAGCAUGGGAUCUUCGGACCUUUCGGGAUUGAAUUAGCCGAUGACGGAUUAGCUAGUUGGGGGGGUAAUGGCCCACCCAGGCGGCGAUCCGUGGCCCGUCGGAGAGGAGGAUCGGCCGCACUGGAAGUGGAACAGGGACCAGGCUACUGAGGGAGGCAGCAGUGGGGAAUAUGAGACAAUGGGCGCAAACCUGACCCAGCCAUCCCGCGUGGGAGAAGAAGGCCUUGGGUUUGUAAUGCCCGUUUGUGGGGAAAGAAAAGCAGCAGGUUGAGACCACGCGGUACUGACGGUACCGAAAGAAUAAGCACCGGCUAACUACGUG
RNAcentral lists this ribosomal RNA (492 nucleotides) under uncultured bacterium. RNAcentral's name for it is "partial 16S ribosomal RNA". It matches the Rfam family "Bacterial small subunit ribosomal RNA", at positions 29 to 507 of the family's 1533-position model. The record is from RNAcentral.